Molecule: ribosomal RNA, 473 nt
Filed under: Escherichia coli
Lineage: Bacteria; Pseudomonadati; Pseudomonadota; Gammaproteobacteria; Enterobacterales; Enterobacteriaceae
Description: partial 23S ribosomal RNA
Rfam family: Bacterial large subunit ribosomal RNA
Source: RNAcentral
CUGGAGGUAUCAGAAGUGCGAAUGCUGACAUAAGUAACGAUAAAGCGGGUGAAAAGCCCGCUCGCCGGAAGACCAAGGGUUCCUGUCCAACGUUAAUCGGGGCAGGGUGAGUCGACCCCUAAGGCGAGGCCGAAAGGCGUAGUCGAUGGGAAACAGGUUAAUAUUCCUGUACUUGGUGUUACUGCGAAGGGGGGACGGAGAAGGCUAUGUUGGCCGGGCGACGGUUGUCCCGGUUUAAGCGUGUAGGCUGGUUUUCCAGGCAAAUCCGGAAAAUCAAGGCUGAGGCGUGAUGACGAGGCACUACGGUGCUGAAGCAACAAAUGCCCUGCUUCCAGGAAAAGCCUCUAAGCAUCAGGUAACAUCAAAUCGUACCCCAAACCGACACAGGUGGUCAGGUAGAGAAUACCAAGGCGCUUGAGAGAACUCGGGUGAAGGAACUAGGCAAAAUGGUGCCGUAACUUCGGGAGAAGGCA